Molecule: ribosomal RNA, 622 nt
Filed under: uncultured bacterium
Lineage: Bacteria
Description: bacterial SSU rRNA
Rfam family: Bacterial small subunit ribosomal RNA
Source: RNAcentral
CCUACGGGAGGCAGCAGUGGGGAAUUUUGGACAAUGGGCGCAAGCCUGAUCCAGCAAUGCCGCGUGCAGGAUGAAGGCCUUCGGGUUGUAAACUGCUUUUGUACGGAACGAAACGGUGAGCUCUAAUACAGUUUGCUAAUGACGGUACCGUAAGAAUAAGCACCGGCUAACUACGUGCCAGCAGCCGCGGUAAUACGUAGGGUGCGAGCGUUAAUCGGAAUUACUGGGCGUAAAGCGUGCGCAGGCGGUGAUGUAAGACAGAUGUGAAAUGCCCGGGCUCAACCUGGGACCUGCAUUUGUGACUGCAUCGCUAGAGUACGGUAGAGGGGGAUGGAAUUCCGCGUGUAGCAGUGAAAUGCGUAGAUAUGCGGAGGAACACCGAUGGCGAAGGCAAUCCCCUGGACCUGUACUGACGCUCAUGCACGAAAGCGUGGGGAGCAAACAGGAUUAGAUACCCUGGUAGUCCACGCCCUAAACGAUGUCAACUGGUUGUUGGGUCUUCACUGACUCAGUAACGAAGCUAACGCGUGAAGUUGACCGCCUGGGGAGUACGGCCGCGAAGGUUGAAACUCAAAGAGUAGUAGGACGAGAGAGAGCGACGACGACGACGAGGAGGGAGGNG